Molecule: ribosomal RNA, 498 nt
Filed under: uncultured bacterium
Lineage: Bacteria
Description: partial 16S ribosomal RNA
Rfam family: Bacterial small subunit ribosomal RNA
Source: RNAcentral
GACGAACGCUGGCGGCGUGCCUAAUACAUGCAAGUCGAACGAGAGCGACCGGUGCUUGCACUGGUCAAUCUAGUGGCGAACGGGUGAGUAACACGUGGGUAACCUGCCCAUCAGAGGGGGAUAACAUCCGGAAACGGAUGCUAAAACCGCAUAGGUCUUCGAACCGCAUGGUUUGAAGAGGAAAAGAGGCGCAAGCUUCUGCUGAUGGAUGGACCCGCGGUGCAUUAGCUAGUUGGUGAGGUAACGACUCACCAAGGCCGUGAUGCAUAGCCGACCUGAGAGGGUGAUCGGCCACAUUGGGACUGAGACACGGCCCAAACUCCUACGGGAGGCGGCAGUAGGGAAUCUUCCGCAAUGGACGCAAGUCUGACGGAGCAACGCCGCGUGAGUGAAGAAGGUUUUCGGAUCGUAAAACUCUGUUGUUAGAGAAGAACAAGUGCUAGAGUAACUGUUAGCGCCUUGACGGUAUCUAACCAGAAAGCCACGGCUAACUACGUG